RNAcentral lists this long non-coding RNA (1762 nucleotides) under Mytilus galloprovincialis (Mediterranean mussel). The record is from RNAcentral. Lineage: Eukaryota; Metazoa; Mollusca; Bivalvia; Mytilida; Mytilidae.
AGUAGGACAACCAGAAGUGCCUGAGUAAGGAUUUCGGUGCUCAGUGAUACGGUUCACUAGACGACGUUGUCAACACGUAAUGGCGGCCAUUAUUUGACGUUGGAUUUGGCAUUCCACACUGAAAAGUUGCAUUUAUGACAUUCUUGGAUGCUUAAACUUUAUGCUAAACAACACAAAAGGUAAAGGUUUAUUCCAUAUAUCUCAGUAUUCAUUAUCAAAUAAGUCGGAUCAUAAGAAAUGAUUUAAACGGCAAAAAAAGUGUAAAACUAUAUCAAACAUGAAAAUUGAUAUCUAAUUUUUCAUCAUUUCCUUUUCAUAUACAAGUAUUGAAUCAACUAUUUACUGGUGAAUUACAUUCGGAUUUCGGUCUAAGGUAUCCGCCCUUGUCUCCGGAAAUAUUAUACCAACACAAGCUGUCAACAUCCGUUUUCAAACUGGUCAAGUGUUCUUCUCAAUCUCCCUGGAAAAUAUUCACGCUAUCACUUCUUGCUCAGAUAAUAGAAAAUUGUAAACCUCUUACUGCAAAUACGGACCAUAAUGAAUCAAAUUCGAAAGCACGUAUGAUCAGGCUUUAUGCCGAUUUGGAAGUUCUCUAAAAAGGAUUAUAAUUUCAAGGCCCAAAAAUAUAGGCAACUGAGGCUAAACAAAUUUUGAUGAAUGGCUCGGGUUCAACUCAAAAGUCCAUGUAUUAAAUCAUUGGAAUGUAAGACAUAUUCACUUUCACUGUUGGCUAUUUUAUACCUGGUAUAAUAUUGCAUUUGGAAAAAAAUAUUUGUGUCCCUGAUUUCAUAUAGUGCACCAAAAUGUAAUAGUUAUAAAAAUUAAAUCUGUCAUAAACAUGAAAUGCAAUGGGAAAUCGAUCACAGGCACAGACUCCUCUUUCUUCAUAUACAAAAAAAAAAAAAAAAAAAUUAGAUAGCCAUCCUCUAAAUUCAUAUCUCACAUACAUUUUAAAAGAAAUUUACACAUUGAAAUUAACCACUGGCAUUGAAUCAUCCACCCGUUUGAGAGCUUACACAUGCAUUAACAUGUAACUCCAUGACUAUUACAAAUUUAAUAUGCCUGUACAAUGUCUUUAUAUCCAUCAUGUUAUAUUAUUCCUAAAGGCUAUAGUCUUAUAUAUAUAAACAUUAUUUAGAAAAAUUAUGAUAAUCCAUCGACAAUCUUAAUUACUUUCAGAAAAUGUACUCCAACUUCAUUAAUAUCAUAAUAUCAUUAAAUUAAUGGUGUUAUGACAGUGGUAGUUCAUGGAUUUAAUUUAACACUAGGUUGUGAGUACCCCCAAAAUGUAUAAAAUUUCAGCUUGCAUUGUACAAUGGACAUGCUAGAUAUUUAUGUACACUAUUAUAAUAUGUUUCCUUUGCCUGUAACUUUUAUGUAUUGAGCAGAAAUGCUAGAGGCAUAAUCAUUUAUAAUACAUAAUAAAUAUAUAAAAUUGAGAAUGGAAAUGGGUAAUGUGUCAAAGAAAUAGCAACCCAACCAAAGAGCAAAAGUCGACGGCCACCAAUGGGUCUUGAUUGGAGCAAGAAAAUAUGUUAUUUCUUUGUAAUUUAUUUGGCAAAUUUGUAUUCAUGUGUUGAUAAUAACAAUGCAAAGUUUAAUUUUGCUUUGAAUGAUUUAGUAUAUUUAAUUGAUUUAGUAAUUGUAUGUGCAUUUGCUUUAUAUUUACAGGAUGGAGAAAAAUGUUUACUAUGAAUCAAAAAUUCAAAACAGAGGACUUUUAUAUAUCAACAAAAACACUUGCAGUACAUGCACAUGUAUG